RNAcentral lists this ribosomal RNA (305 nucleotides) under uncultured bacterium. RNAcentral's name for it is "bacterial SSU rRNA". It matches the Rfam family "Bacterial small subunit ribosomal RNA", at positions 337 to 657 of the family's 1533-position model. The record is from RNAcentral.
GCCUACGGGAGGCAGCAGUGGGGAAUAUUGCGCAAUGGGGGAAACCCUGACGCAGCAACGCCGCGUGCAGGAAGAAGGUCUUCGGAUUGUAAACUGUUGUCGCAGGGGAAGAAGACAGUGACGGUACCCUGUGAGAAAGUCACGGCUAACUACGUGCCAGCAGCCGCGGUAAUACGUAGGUGACAAGCGUUGUCCGGAUUUAUUGGGUUUAAAGGGUGCGCAGGCGGUCUGUUAAGUCAGCAGUCAAAGCCCGGGGCUCAACCCCGGCCCGCCGUUGAAACUGGCAGUCUCGAGUUGGAGAGAAG